GCCAGGCGUGGUGGCGCAUGCCUGUAAUCCCAGCUACUCGGGAGGCUGAGGCAGGAGAAUCGCUUGAACCCAGGAGGCAGAGGUUGCAGUGAGUCGAGAUCACGCCAUUGCACUCCAGCCUGGGCAACAAGAGCGAAACUCUGUCUCUU
This 149-nucleotide non-coding RNA is filed under the name Pan troglodytes (chimpanzee). Lineage: Eukaryota; Metazoa; Chordata; Mammalia; Primates; Hominidae. The record is from Rfam by way of RNAcentral.